Molecule: transfer RNA, 64 nt
Filed under: Argopecten irradians (bay scallop)
Lineage: Eukaryota; Metazoa; Mollusca; Bivalvia; Pectinida; Pectinidae
Also listed under: 2 other names
Description: tRNA-Ala
Source: RNAcentral
UGCUUCUUGGUGUAAUAAACACUUCUAAUUUGCACUUAGAGAAUGGGAAAUUUCCCAGAAGCAA